CAGUUUUGGCGGAGCCAUCCUUGGGAUACCACCCUUGUAGUACUGGGACUCUAACCAUAGGCCAUGAAUCUGGUCUUGGGACACUGUCAGGUGGGCAGUUUGACUGGGGCGGUCGCCUCCCAAAAGGUAACGGAGGCGCUCAAAGGUUCUCUCAGUACGGUCGGAAAUCGUACGUAGAGUGUAAAGGCAAAAGAGAGCUUGAUUGCAAGACAUACAGGUCGAGCAAGGAUGAAAAUCGGACUUAGUGAUCCGGUGGUUCUGCGUGGAAGGGCCAUCGCUCAACGGAUAAAAGCUACCCUGGGGAUAACAGGCUUAUCUCCCCCAAGAGUCCACAUCGACGGGGAGGUUUGGCACCUCGAUGUCGGCUCAUCACAUCCUGGGGCUGUAGUAGGUCCCAAGGGUUGGGCUGUUCGCCCAUUAAAGUGGUACGCGAGCUGGGUUCAGAACGUCGUGAGACAGUUCGGUCCCUAUCCGUCGCAGGCGUAGGACAUUUGAGAAGACCUGUCCUUAGUACGAGAGGACCGGGAUGGACGUACCUCUGGUGUACCAGUUGUCCUGCCAAGGGCAUGGCUGGGUAGCUAUGUACGGAAUGGAUAAGCGCUGAAAGCAUCUAAGCGCGAAGCCAACUUCAAGAUAAGAUUUCCCACCGCAAGGGUAAGACCCCAGAAAGACUAUCUGGUUGAUAGGUCGAAGGUGUAAGU
Molecule: ribosomal RNA, 701 nt
Filed under: Clostridioides difficile
Lineage: Bacteria; Bacillati; Bacillota; Clostridia; Peptostreptococcales; Peptostreptococcaceae
Description: bacterial LSU rRNA
Rfam family: Bacterial large subunit ribosomal RNA
Source: RNAcentral